Molecule: long non-coding RNA, 7642 nt
Organism: Mytilus californianus (California mussel)
Lineage: Eukaryota; Metazoa; Mollusca; Bivalvia; Mytilida; Mytilidae
Exons: 5
Source: RefSeq, a predicted model, not a curated record
CCAGGAAGGUCAUUGACAUGCAAAAUCCUUGUUUAAGUUGUAUUUAUUCGGCUGAACAAAUGGUGGAAUAUUCUACUGAACAAAUGUUGAAGAACAUGGAGACGAGGAAAACACAAGCAUUGUUUAUCAGCUUUUCUGUUGGUGACAAUGCAUGCAAAGUGAGAAAUGUCUUUUUAAUUACCUCUUUCAUUUCCAUUCAAUAUGGCGACACUUUGACGUGAAGAACAUUUUGCUUAAAUUUAAUUACUUUAUAAAUAUCAAAUCAGUGGCGUAGGAGCAGGCUGAAAAGUGUUUGCGUGUGUGUGGAAAGGGAACAAACUUCUGAAAGUGAAAUGCAAUAAUAAAAGAAACUUUGAAAAGGGGGGAGACUUGCUCCAGGCUCAGCUUGUGCAAAUAAAUUCACAUUGCGUACACCAAUUCAACUAGGAUUAAGCCUUUUAAAAACGUAAAGCAGAAGGAUUGAACUGAUGCACCUGUAUGAUUAUAUUUAUAGAUCUAUUUAUCAAGGUCGUUGAUCAUAUGAUUGUAUACCUGUUUAAAAAGGCGUAUACUACGCAAUGUGUAACGUAAUGACUAAAAAUAGAUUGGAAAUUAUGUAUCUAAAUAUAGCUGGAACUUUCUAAGACAUUCUCUUCCGCUGAAGAUUUAGACGAGACUACACGUAAAAUUUUAUAUCCUUUUCGAGCAAAACACUAUGGAUGUAGGAAAGUUGGAAGUAAUAUUUUCGAUAGGAUUAAUAACACAAUUUUCUGUUAUCCUAGCAGAUUGUGAUAACCAGCUCUGCAAACUUGGGUAUGAAUUUUGUGAAACCGAAAAACAAGUGUGUCGACAGUGUUCUGACUUUCAAGACUACUGCUGGGUAGAUAACAUGCAUUUAUCCAACUGUUCGUCAUACUGUAAAGAAACAUUGAGUCCCUCCAGCUGUAAAGAGAGUUCGUUUAUAUGGCUGUAUCCAACAUUGAUAGGAUUGGCUAUAUUGGCCAUAUUGGCUAUAGUAUGUUCUUUCCUUAUAUAUCAGAACCUUAGAUUGCGUCGACAAAUUAAUCAAAAGCUGAAAAUGGAUGAUUCUAGGUCUUCAACUGAAAUAGACGCCUCAUCGGAAGAAGAAACAGACUUGCUCGAGAAAAGUCAAGAAGAAGUCGUUCAUCUACAGGAUAUUAAGGUGGACAAUGAUAGCAGACUUCAUCCCCGAGCAGAUUCGAAUGGCUUUGUACCUCCAAUUCAAACGGCAACAGCCGAUUAUCAAGAAACCGGAAACAUGGCAAUCAGUGGCAGACAACUUCAUCAGUGUGAUUAAAAUCAAAUAGAAAAUAUCGAUUUAUAGAUAAAUGGUAUACAUUGUGAAAUCAUAUGGUCUACCCUAUAUUUCACACGUAGUUGUAAAUAUUUAGUUUUUUUCUGUGUAGUGUUAAUUAGACAACACUCGACGAGAAAUAUAGGGAGUUGAAUAUAUUCAAGAAACUUCUUGAUCAUAAACGGAUGCAUGAAAUUUAUUAAGAGGGAUUUUCAUUUAUAAAUUUGGGGCGUCAGUACUUAAUUUUAGCAUUGAGGUUUUUGUGUUUGUAAUUUUUGCAAUCUGAUUAAAAUAUAAUUUCAUGUACUGUGUCCAUGCUUCACUUACAACUCAAAGUAAGCAUUUGGGUGCAAAGCGUAGACAUAGGAUCUGUAAUUAUUCAGAUAUUUGUUUCCAUGUUAGCUUGUGCUUUCGAAGGAAAGUUUUACCUUUCGGCGAAAUACCAUUUAUAUUGUAAUUGAAUUUGAAUGAAUUCUAAUUUAUAUGGUUUUGAAACAAUGGUAAUAACUAUUUUUUUAUUUAAUAUUAAUAAAAAAAGCAUCCAUUGAACACUUGUCUCAUAAACUUGAAAAUAUAUAGGGUGCACAUGUAUCUUUUGAAUCUGUUUUUAGAAGUAGACCUUUAGGGUUAAUCACAAAUCAACUAUACCAAAUGCAUCUAACAGUAAGGUCACGAAUGUUGUACCCUUUAUGUUGAAAUUGACACACCUUGUUGCUUAGCAUUAAACUAUUUUUCUUCAAAGCACUGUUGUCUCGUAAACUGAGAUAUUUUUUAAGGAAGUCAAGUAAAAUCCAUACAAUUGCCAUCAUAUUUCUGCAUACUUCAUUUUUUUUGUACUCGCCAUUUACUUCAAGUGUAUGAAAUAGACAUUUGCAUAUUCAGAAUUUUGAGAAACAGAGAACAAAAGUGCUUUCCAUUUGGUAUCUUUGACAUUUGAAAUAAUCUAUUUGUAUGCCUGUAUAAAUAAAUGUUAUUGUGAAACCUUAUUAUGGGAGACAUUUAAUUGCUUAAUUAUUUUAUUUGUUAAGUCAUUUAUGGUUUCUACAGUUCUUAGAAUUUUUCCUAAUUUAAAAAUGACUUGACAAAAUUCAAAGUAGUACACACAUAUAGUUAUGAAUAUAUUGAUGUCAUCUAAACGUAACAACCUAAAUGUAUGUAAUUCACAGCUUCAGCGCACAGUAUUGACUAAGGGAAACAUCAUUUGAUUUUCUGGGUGUGGGAGGGUGGUGAAGGGAGGAGUAUUUUGAAAAUGAUCAUUCUUGCAUGGUAAGAGUUGAAAAUGCAUAAUUUUUCGAAUGAUAGGAUGAAAAUGAAUAUUCUGCAACCAUUAAUGUCGCCUUGUACACUGAUAUAGGUGUAAUCUAGAUAAGUACUUUGUUCGAUGGUUAAUGGAGUUGAAUGAUAUUCCCUUUCAGCUGAUGAAGGAUGCACAGGGGUCCCUGAUUUCAAGUUCCCUACUCCACAUCCCACUUCCCUCACCCUACUCCCAAUUCCCUCCCCUUACUCCCAGACGAAAAUCGGCCAAAAAAGAAUUUGGCAGUAUAUCCCUUUUUUACCCCCCCCCCCUCUUCCCCCGGUUCUGUCCCUGACUUUCGCUUCCCGUCCACUCAUUUACAUGUCCCUCUACCCCUUUCCACCCCUCGCUGAUAUUCUUAUCAAUACUCCCCAUGGUUUCCAAUACAUUUCAAAGGGAAUACGUGAAUAGAUCAAAUUUAUUUGUUCAGUGUAUGUUCACUGGUGUUAAUAUGUCUUGAUUGAGUUAAGCCAUUUCAAUUGAUAUUUUAUAGUGUGUCUUUCUAUGUUGUGAUGUCGCACUAUUGUUUCAGAUAAGGGUGAAAGUUUGGUACCAUUAAAACGUUUAAACCCGCUGCAAUUGUUUGCACCUGUCCUAAGUCAGGAAUCUGAUUUUCAGUAGUUGUCGUUUGUUAAUGUGGUUCAUAAGUGUUUCUCGUUUCUCGUUUUUUAUAUAUUGGUUUUCCCGUUUGAAUGGUUUUACACUAGUAAUUUUUGGGGCCCUUUAUAGCUUGCUGUUCGGUGUGAGCCAAGGCUCCGUGUUGAAGACCGUACUUUGACCUAUAAUUGUUUACUUUUAUAAAUUUUGACUUGGAUGGAGAGUUGUCUCAUUGGCACUCAUACCACAUCUUCUUAUAUCAAUUGUCAUAACAAAUAGGAAAACUAAUUUACAAAUAUCAGUAAUGUGGACGUAAAGGUUUCCUCAAUUUAUAUUUAGAUUUACUGACAAGCUUUUCCAUUUUUAUAUAUUUUAUUUCUGUGAAUAACAAUUUUAUGUACUGAUUCUUUCGACGUUAGGAAAUGACAGAUAUGAGUUUUCAUUUUCACAAAAACUUUGAAUUCAUUUUUAAGUCCAAUGGAACUCAUUGUUAUUUUUCUGUUUGAAUUUUUAAUGAAGCUUCAUAGAGAUUUUAAACAAACAAUUUAUAAAAGCAGAUGAAUGGUGAAAUUCAGAAAAUUUAUUUUACUCACUUCUUAAAACCGACGCUUCCAAGAAAGGAUUAAGAAUCGCUGAGUAUUAUUUUUAACGUACAAACUGCAACAAACUUUGGUGCUUUAUCAUUCACAUAGAUUAACAUAAAUCUCUUAAAUGCCAUUUUCAAGGCACGAUAUUUGAACACAUUUAAAUUGUUACGUUUUGAAGGACAUCAGAUCAAAAGGUAUUGCCACAGUUCUUAAAACUGUGCGAACAUGCCUUUCAGUUAUUUAUUUUUGUACAAAUGUAAUGUAAUGUAUCUGUGUAUAUAUAAGUGCAUAUGUAAAUUUAUUAUUGUUUAUAUGCAAAUUUGUAUUUCAUGAAGUAUACAUACAAACCUAAGUAUCUUUAGAACUUCCGGUUUACAUCAAAGUUAUUUAUAUUAUUACUUUACACGACGUUGUUAACCAAUUAAAAUCACUGAAUAACAAACUGUAACACUCUUGAUCACUUGGUACUCAGUUGAAAAAUAUCAAUUGUAACGUACCAGUGACGUCAUUUACAAAUUAAUUUCAUAAUUAAUGUAAUUCUUUACUUAAAAUGUUUAUUUAUUUUGUAAAUAUAAUUACAUUUUUUUGUGUAUAUCAAUUAUGUUGUUUGUUUUUAACUUCGUGCUAAAAGUUACAUAUAUAUUUUGAACAAAGGGCGGCAAUACUGUCAUUUUGCAUAGGAUAAACAAAGCUUAAAGGACGAUUUUUGAUUGAUUGAUUGAUUGAUUGAUUGAUGAUUGAAACAAACACGUGUUUUGUUACAUAUAUUUAAGGUAAAGCCAUAAAUACGACAUUCCGUUAUUACAUACAUUCCAAAGAUUUAUUAUAAACUUAAUAGAACAUUGAAGAAUAAACAAUCUUCACAUAGUUUUUUUCCCCAUAAACCUCUCACUUUCCUCCUGUCACUGUAUGAUGACAAAAUUAAAAUUCAAAAGUCAUUUGUAAUUAAAAUAGUUCUUUGUAUUUAUAAUAAAUCAGAAGGCAAUUUUUAAGAAAAAACGUUUAUAUUGCUGCUUCGUUGACUACAAACAGGCAUUUGACUCCGUAUCCAGACUUAACUUAUGGUAGAAACUGUCAAGAGUUGGUAUAACAGGCAUUUAAAUUGCUGUCUGUUUUAAAAUCAAUGUACUCCACAGUAAAAGUAUGUGUGAAAAUUGAUGGUUUUUAUUCUGAGCAGUUUACAAGUUCAGUUGGUCUUAUGCAAGGGGAAGUUCUUUCUCCCAUACUUUUUUCAUUAUGUGUCAGUGACUUUGAAAUGGAAUUCCUACGUAAAUGUAGUACAAGACUUAUCGUUAUUUUUACUUAUGUACGCUGUUGACAUGAUUAUAUUUUCUGAUUCAGUUAUUGGCUUGCAAGUUAUGUUAGACUUUUCUUAUAUACUUGUAAAUGGGGUUUGACUGUAAAUAUCUCCAAAACAAAAAUUAUGGUAUUUAGAAACGGAGGUUUUGUGAAAGACGAAAAAAUCUGGUAUUAUGAUGGCAAUGCUAUUGACAUAGUUGAUGAAUUUUGUUACCUGGUGUACUGUUAAAUUUUAACGAUGAAUUUGCUAAAACUCAGAGACAUUUAGCUGAGCAAAGUAGAAAAGCUGUAUUUGGUUUAAAGUCGACGGUUUCAUCAUUAUAUGUGAAUGUUUUUACAUAUUUGAAUUUGUUUGAUACUUAUAAAAGUAGUAUACUAUGUUAUGGUUGUUAUAUAUAUAGCUUCCAUAAAGCUCCAAAUAUUGAAAAAGUACAACUAGAUUUUUGCAAAAAUAUUUUAAGUGUCAAACAGUGUACAACAAAUGUUAUGGUCUAUUUUGAAUUGGGUCGAUAUCAAUUAAUAUAUUUUAGAAUGUAUAAAAUAGUGAAGUACUUGUUAGAAUUAUUAUCCACAAGCAACUGUAUUCUUAAGAACGGCUAUAGGGAACAACUGUAUAAUUUUUGUAAUAAUCGAAUCAGUUGGAUUUAUCAAUGUCAACAAUUAUUAUUUAACUUAGGUUUAAAUGAGAUUUGAUAUAACCAAGACAAUUUGAUUAUUGAUAGUAAUGUAUUAUUGAUUGUAAAAACAAGAAUAUAUGAUCAAGCAAAACAGACUUUAAAUGAUCAAAUGAACAUUUCAUAUAAGUGUUAUUUAAGAUAUUGUCCAUUAUGUAAGUUUACAGAAUUAUCUCAUUAAACAUAUGAAAUUUAGAGUGUAUUUAACUCGUCCCAGAUUGUCUUCACAUAAUUUGUUUGUUGAAGAAGGACGUAAUCAUGGAGUAAAAAGGUUAGACAGAAAAAUGUGCUCUUUGUACUUUGAAUACCAUUGAAGAUGAAUUCCAUUUUGUAUUGCAAUGUUAAUGCUAUAGAGAUAUAAGGAGACAGUUUAUUAAACCUUUUUAUUAUAGACGUCCAUCGUCGUUCAAAUGAGUUCAACUUUUCAUCACUGAAAAUGUCAACGAUUUGCGUAAUUUGUGUAAAUUCCUAUUUAAUGCACUUAAUCAUAGGACAGAACUGUUAGUGGACAAUACUUGAUGUUUAUUUGCUUCUCUGAUGUAGUAUGCCAUUUUAGGUUUAACUUAUAAAAAUGUAUUAGUAUUUAUUCUUGUACUAAUAAGCAUAAUGUGCUUAAAGAAAUAAUGAAUUGAACAAUAUGUUUUUAUGCCCCCGCCGUAGCAGAGGGGGCAUGAAGUUUUACCCUUGUCCGUCUGUACGUCCCACAAAUUGGUUUCCGUUCUCUAACUUUAGUUUGCCUCAACCAAAUGUUAUGAAACUUAUACACAAUGCGUAUUACCACAAAACACAGACAAAGUUUGCAUUUUGGUGAUGUCAUUUUUACUGUUCUAGAGUUAUGCCCUUUACAAAUGGAAAAAUUGCUGAAUUUUUCGUUUCCGUUCUCUAACUUAAGAUUGCUUCGACCAAAUGUUAUGAAACUUAUACACAAUGCUUAUUACCACGAAAUUCAGAUCAAGUACGAAUUUUGGGUAGCGUCACUUUUACCUUUCUAGAGUUAUGUCCCUUUAAAAAUGGAAAAAAUUGCUGAAUUUGUUGUUUCCGUUCUCUAAUUUUACUUUGCUUCAACCAAAUGUUAUGAAUCUUAUAUACAAUGCUUAUUAUCACAAAACACAGAUCAAGUUCGAAUUUUGGUGGCGUCACUUUUACUGUUCAAGAGUUAUGCUCCUUUACAAAAGGACAAAUUGCUGAAUUUUUAUACUCUGUUCUCUAACUUAAGUUUGCCUCAACCAAAUGUGAUGAAACUAUUACACAAUGCUUAUUACCACAAAAUUCAGAUCAAGUAUGAAUUUGGGUAGCGUCACUUUUACCGUUCUUGAGUUAUGUCCCUUUAUAACGUUAUAUGCAAGCGAGGGCAUCAUUCUCCAUUUAUUUUUUUAUUUCAAAAACCUUUCAUGUGAAAUAAAACUCUUGUAAAGGAAAAUAUAUUUCUUUGUUGAUUAAUUAUAUAUAAGCGUCCGCAAGAACAUUUCGUUUCGCAAAAGUCUCGUCCAUUGAAUUUUAAAUGUGAAGUCACCUUUUUAUUUAGAAUUUCUGCUAAUACUUUUCGACGAUUUCUUCAGUCCGAAUUAAACCUUUUGAUUAGGACCACUGGAAAAAUCGUUGUAAAUUAAGAAUAACUUGCUAGGUUUUUUGUCUCUAACCAACACUAACACGGUGAAUUAAGCUUCAUAUUUGACAUGGGCUUGUUGCUAUAUCCCUGUUCUUGAAAUACUGAAACAUUAAAAACUGCACAUAUUCUAAUUUUAUGAUUUAUAAAUAUGUUUUAGAAAAAUACAAGAUGAUUCAAGUUAUUCAACAUUUGUCAUACAUAAUAUAUUCAAUGGUUGUAAUUGUGCUUAAUUUGAAUAAUUUUCUAAAAGUGUAUAUAAUUCUAUGUUCAUUAAAACACUUAUUAUCA